UUUCUGGUGGUCUAGUGGCUAAGACUGCAUUUCCAAUGCAGGGGACUCAGGUUCAAUCCCUGAUCAGGGAA
Molecule: transfer RNA, 71 nt
Filed under: Capra hircus (goat)
Lineage: Eukaryota; Metazoa; Chordata; Mammalia; Artiodactyla; Bovidae
Also listed under: 1 other name
Rfam family: tRNA
About the family: Transfer RNA (tRNA) molecules are approximately 80 nucleotides in length. Their secondary structure includes four short double-helical elements and three loops (D, anti-codon, and T loops).
Source: Rfam by way of RNAcentral